AUUGAACGCUGGCGGCAGGCCUAACACAUGCAAGUCGAACGAGUGGCGGACGGGUGAGUAAUGUCUGGGAAACUGCCUGAUGGAGGGGGAUAACUAAUGGAAACGGUAGCUAAUACCGCAUACCAUCGGAUGUGCCCAGAUGGGCUUAUCUAGUAGGUGGGGUAACGGCGCACCUAGGCGACGCUCCCUAGCUGGUCUGAGAGGAUGACCCGCCACACUGGAACUGAGACACGGUCCAGACUCCUACGGGAGGCAGCAGUGGGGAAUAUUGCACAAUGGGCGCAAGCCGGAUGCAGCCAUGCCGCGUGAGUGAAGAAGGCCUUCGGGUUGUAAAGCACUUUCAGCGAGGAGGCGGUACCCGCAGAAGAAGCACCGGCUAACUCCGUGCCAGCAGCCGCGGUAAUAC
RNAcentral lists this ribosomal RNA (406 nucleotides) under uncultured bacterium. Its description in RNAcentral is "partial 16S ribosomal RNA". It matches the Rfam family "Bacterial small subunit ribosomal RNA", at positions 30 to 526 of the family's 1533-position model. The record is from RNAcentral.